This 614-nucleotide ribosomal RNA is filed under the name uncultured bacterium. Its description in RNAcentral is "bacterial SSU rRNA". It matches the Rfam family "Bacterial small subunit ribosomal RNA", at positions 338 to 947 of the family's 1533-position model. The record is from RNAcentral.
CCUACGGGAGGCAGCAGUGGGGAAUUUUGGACAAUGGGGGCAACCCUGAUCCAGCAAUGCCGCGUGAGUGAAGAAGGCCUUCGGGUUGUAAAGCUCUUUUGUCAGGGAAGAAAAAGUAUCCCCUAAUACGGGGUGCCCAUGACGGUACCUGAAGAAUAAGCACCGGCUAACUACGUGCCAGCAGCCGCGGUAAUACGUAGGGUGCAAGCGUUAAUCGGAAUUACUGGGCGUAAAGCGUGCGCAGGCGGUUAUAUAAGUCAGAUGUGAAAUCCCUGGGCUCAACCUAGGAACUGCAUUUGAGACUGUAUGGCUAGAGUGUGUCAGAGGGGGGUAGAAUUCCACGUGUAGCAGUGAAAUGCGUAGAUAUGUGGAGGAAUACCGAUGGCGAAGGCAGCCCCCUGGGAUAACACUGACGCUCAUGCACGAAAGCGUGGGGAGCAAACAGGAUUAGAUACCCUGGUAGUCCACGCCCUAAACGAUGUCUACUAGUUGUUGGGUCUUAAUUGACUUAGUAACGCAGCUAACGCGUGAAGUAGACCGCCUGGGGAAUCGGUCGCAAGNUUAAAACUCAAGGAAUUGACGGCUGAGAGNGCGAGACGACGACGAGGAGGAGG